Molecule: long non-coding RNA, 384 nt
Filed under: Salmo salar (Atlantic salmon)
Lineage: Eukaryota; Metazoa; Chordata; Actinopteri; Salmoniformes; Salmonidae
Description: lncRNA (ENSSSAG00000088249.1, ENSSSAG00000104890.1)
Source: RNAcentral
GUACACUGCUGGGCAGGUCAAUCUGAAAACUCCCUCCAUGCUGGUACACUGCUGGGCAGGUCAAUCUGAAAACUCCCUCCAUGCUGGUACACUGCUGGGCAGAUCAAUCUGAAAACUCCCUCCAUGCUGGUACACUGCUGGGCAGAUCAAUCUGAAAACUCCCUCCAUACUGGUACACUGCUGGGCAGAUCAAUCUGAAAACUCCCUCCAUACUGGUACACUGCUGGGCAGGUCAAUCUGAAAACUCCCUCCAUACUGGUACACUGCUGGACAGAUCAAUCUGAAAACUCCCUCCAUGCUGGUACACUGCUGGACAGAUCAAUCUGAAAACUCCCUCCAUGCUGGUACACUGCUGGACAGGUCAAUCUGAAAACUCCCUCCAUG